RNAcentral lists this long non-coding RNA (607 nucleotides) under Homo sapiens (human). RNAcentral describes it as "HSALNT0369607". The record is from RNAcentral. Lineage: Eukaryota; Metazoa; Chordata; Mammalia; Primates; Hominidae.
UAAAAAUAAAAAAUAAAAAAUGCAAAUACUAAAUAACUUUUCACCAUGGAGCAAAAAAAUCUUUAUAUGUUUCAUUAAGAACUUCUAGUGAACUCUGACUCUUUUAAAAGGGCCUUAGAACACCGACAGCUCUAGAUUAUCUUCUCAGUUGGAUUUUAAUACCUGUAUCUCCUUUAACAAAUUUAGGAAAGGACCUGUCACUACAUCUUACAAAGGAAGCAGUUUGAAUUCCAAAAAGAUUUGUCCUGGACCUUGCUGGGGUCAAGGGUGAGAAGACUUUCGAGCAGAACAUUCCCAGCAGCAAAAGCAAAUACAAAGGCCCAGAGAUCAAAACAAGAUUAGAAGAUUUACUAGCCAGAAGCAAAGCCACUGUAGUAAAACCCAGUGACCCUGGAGGAAAGAAGAGAGGGUCAAAAUGGAAAAAGUGGCCAAAGUAGGUGACAGACAUUAAGACAAGUGACUUAAUGACAAUGAUCAAGUGGAGAAGACAACACUGAUGAUACAGGAGAUGAAGGGUAAUACCACAGGUAAGCCUUCGAAGGGGCCAGAGGCCAUGCAAUUCAGGGCUGCAAUGUUUGUCUAAUACAGAUGCAGGAGGAGGCUUCUA